GCUAACUGCGUGCGAGCAGCCGGGGUAAGACUGAGGGUGCAAGCGGUAUCCGGGUGUGGUGGGGUUAAAGGGUCCGGAGGCGGACCGGUAAGUCAGUGGUGAAAGCCUACAUCUUAACUGUAGAACUGCCGUUGAUACUGUCGGUCUUGAGUGUGGUUGAGGUAGCUGGAAUGAGUAGUGUAGCGGUGAAAUGCAUAGAUAUUACUCAGAACACCAAUUGCGAAGGCAGGUUACCAAGUCACAACUGACGCUGAUGGACGAAAGCGUGGGGAGCGAACAGGAUUAGAUACCCCUGUAGUC
This 300-nucleotide ribosomal RNA is filed under the name uncultured Enterorhabdus sp. RNAcentral describes it as "bacterial SSU rRNA". It matches the Rfam family "Bacterial small subunit ribosomal RNA", at positions 496 to 795 of the family's 1533-position model. The record is from RNAcentral. Lineage: Bacteria; Bacillati; Actinomycetota; Coriobacteriia; Eggerthellales; Eggerthellaceae.